CUUUAAGACUGAGUACUCAGCAAACCCUCAUUCGGCACCUACUGUGUGUCAGGCCCCAGCCCAGGCGUGGAGACACAGAGACACAGGCGCUUGGAAAAAGCACCCGUGAGUUGCUUCUGUUCUCCAAGAGAGACUGGAAACUUCCUAAGGGCAGAGGGUCGGCUGUCACGACAGAGACCAGGACUAACCAGGACCGGAACGAGAUACAACUUUCUCUCUCUCUCACGCCACAGUCUGGGUUUGGGCGGCCAUGGUUGAAGCCCAUGUCGAGGAGAGAGGACCGGCUCUUUCCCGCACUUGUUCUGACGUCCCUGGGGUGUUGCUUCAGUCCACAGAGUUGGCGAUGGCUCACCAUCGGGCCCCCGGUUGCACAACCCACGGGGCCACUUGCACGGGACCCAACGAGAUCAGGGCUUCCCGGACCCGUGUUACGUGGUGCCGCCACUCUCCGCCACCUCCGUGACGAGGAAAGGCGAGGAAGCGGGAGGGCAGAAGACGUGCUUCCCCUUCAAGACUCGCUCUGGAGAUUGUCCAUCUCGCUUCUGCUCACAAACCACACACCACGGCUUGGUCACAUGGCCUCGCUUGGAAGGCCGUCCGUUGUUUGCCGUGCACGGUGGGAAGGGAUUCGACCGUCUCGAUACACCAUCUUGGAUCCUGUCCUUCUGGAACAUUCUGUGUGUCGUGCUUCUUUCUAACGUGUGACACUCCACCGUCCUGCUUUCCUCCUUCCGCCCACCCACCUGUCCCUCAACAGUUUUAUCUAGACGACAUCGGGUUCAGGCGAAAACCGUGGAUGGUUCUCAAGCAGGAAGCAAAAUCCCUCAUGAUUCAUGUAUCCUGGAUGAGAGGAAGCUUCACUUUUUCACUUCAGUGAAGGUAGAAGUGACAGGGAGGGGCUGAUGGCACUUAUCUCAGGGCUUCGUGCCU
This is a long non-coding RNA of Neofelis nebulosa (Clouded leopard), 930 nucleotides long. RefSeq lists it as uncharacterized. The transcript is spliced from 3 exons. Lineage: Eukaryota; Metazoa; Chordata; Mammalia; Carnivora; Felidae. The record is from RefSeq and is a predicted model, not a curated record.